GAUGAAGAUUCCUCCAUGAACCAUUACAUUGGCCACAGAGAUGGGUCCAUGACAAAAUUUGUGUCAACACUUGUCAAUCCUAGGGGUUUUCUUUUGAGUUCUCAGGGGAGUAGACUCCCUGUGUAUCACUGACCAUGAAGCUGAACACAUGCAGUCCCAGGAGCUGCUGGCAGCCACGUGCCCACCAACAAUCAAGAGCUAAGAAUUGGGCAACAUCAUGGAAGGAAGACUGUGGGGAAAAAGAAACUGAGUCCCUGCUGAGGCUUGUUGCUUACCUGAGGCCAACCAUGCCCUUGAACUCUUCUCUUUUGUGAAGAGAUACAUUCUCUUUACUUUUAAAAAUUCAUUUUAUUGAAUCUUCUCUUCCUUGCAACCUGUAAAUAUAUUCAUA
RNAcentral lists this long non-coding RNA (391 nucleotides) under Homo sapiens (human). RNAcentral describes it as "non-protein coding lnc-RGMA-25:1". Lineage: Eukaryota; Metazoa; Chordata; Mammalia; Primates; Hominidae. The record is from RNAcentral.